UGUGCAAAGAAGUGGAAUGUGGAAAGGGAGCUUGCAAGCCUUCUAACAAUGGCACUUUAUUGUUUGAAUGCGAUUGCGAUCCAGGUUGGAGGCAAACACUUUCUUCUCAUGAUGACGGCUUCAAGUUUCUUCCCUGCGUAGUUCCUAACUGUAAGAUAAAUAUUUUCUCAUAUCAAUUUUUCAGUUAUAAUUGUAACUUUUAUUUUGUUUUUUCAUUUACUCUAUAAAUACACUCUUAAUUAAUAUGAAUAGAUAAUAAAACACAGUCAUUUGAAUUUUUUUUUCUCUUUUAUGUUUAUUCUUUCUUUCUCUACAAAUAAAAGUAUAUAAAACUAAUAUGAUAUAUUAACACAAUGUUGUUCGUUUGUUUUUUUGUGACUAUUUUUUUUUAUUUGGUGAAACUAUUUGGUACGCUACAAUAUAGUGAAAUUACAUAUAUAGUGUUAUGACACAAGCAUUGCUUAAAUUUAGAGAUAAUAAAUCUGAAGUUACUAACAUUGUAGUUUCAACGUAAUGUUGUAAUCUGGAGUACAAAUACUAUUAAGUGAUGAUAUGUUCAACAUUUCAUUUGCAUUAAGAGGUGAUUAACACAAAUAAUUAAGUUCAAAAUGCAGAACAACAACACAUACUCUUUUUUAUGGGCACAACAACACGUACUUAAACAACAAUUAAACACUAGAUAUUGAAAUAAUUAUUUCAAUUGUGGGAUCAGUACAUAUUGCCUAAACCUGCCAUGUUAUGCAUUUGGUUGAUUGUUUCAAGUAUAAAGUUUUAACUUCAGAAAGUGUUAAGUGAAACAGUUUAAUUCAUCAGUAAAAGAAAAGUAUUGUGAGUUAAUGAAAACCUCCACACGGAUUAAGAAUUGAAUUGUGAUUGUUCAGAACAAUUCUCACCUUUUCUUGAUGACUACUGAUAUUUUAUUGUAUAUCACCAGACGCUGAAAGAUUUGCAUGAUCCCCGAUGUAGGUACUCUGAACCACUCUUG
RNAcentral lists this long non-coding RNA (985 nucleotides) under Phaseolus vulgaris (common bean). RNAcentral describes it as "long non-coding RNA (PVUL_LNC002016)". The record is from RNAcentral. Lineage: Eukaryota; Viridiplantae; Streptophyta; Magnoliopsida; Fabales; Fabaceae.